Small nucleolar RNA from Nerophis lumbriciformis (worm pipefish), 85 nucleotides. RefSeq annotates it as small nucleolar RNA SNORD11B. The record is from RefSeq and is a predicted model, not a curated record. Lineage: Eukaryota; Metazoa; Chordata; Actinopteri; Syngnathiformes; Syngnathidae.
CCACAGCCAUGAUGAUCUUGACGCCAUGUCAUUUUCCUGAAAACAUUUGUGAUGUUUUUAAGUCACUACCUCUUCUGAGCUUUUG